Molecule: ribosomal RNA, 423 nt
Filed under: uncultured bacterium
Lineage: Bacteria
Description: bacterial SSU rRNA
Rfam family: Bacterial small subunit ribosomal RNA
Source: RNAcentral
AAGACCUUGCGCUUUUGGAGCGGCCGAUGCCUGAUUAGCUUGUUGGUAAGGUAAAAGCUUACCAAGGCUUCGAUCAGUAGCUGGUCUGAGAGGACGGCCAGCCACACUGGGACUGAGACACGGCCCAGACUCCUACGGGAGGCAGCAGUGGGGAAUUUUGGACAAUGGGGGCAACCCUGAUCCAGCCAUGCCGCGUGAGUGAAGAAGGCCUUCGGGUUGUAAAGCUCUUUCAGCCGGGAAGAAAAGGUUGCGACUAAUAAUCGCAAUCCAUGACGGUACCGAAAGAAGAAGCACCGGCUAACUACGUGCCAGCAGCCGCGGUAAUACGUAGGGUGCGAGCGUUAAUCGGAAUUACUGGGCGUAAAGGGUGCGCAGGCGGUUUUGUAAGUCAGAUGUGAAAUCCCCGGGCUUAACCUGGGAACU